AGUGUCAAAUUCUCCAUUUCACUGAAAAUAACUGCUACCCUACCACCACCAUCUGCCACUUAAUAUUGCUGUUUCCAAUUUACACUGGUUUGGGAUGCAAGAAACACUUUGACAUAAUUGUGCAGGUUUCUUGCAGUUAAACUUCAAGAGCAGCAACUCUUUUCUCAUCCUUCUUUCUGUGGAGCCACCCACGAUCCUGAUGGCUCCAGGACUGUUGCUACUGCAGGUCUGGCUGAUUGAAGUGAGGAGUUUAAUGUGUCCUUUGGCACCUUGUUGUCUUUUGUGAUCAUUGCUUCUGGGGCAGUAAAGGUCAGGUGGGGCUUCUCCAAAAUCUUCAAAAUCAACAGAUUGUGCCUCCGAUUGAAGGAAAAUGAGAAACCAAGAGUUUAGUUUUUGCACUACUCAUCUUCAGGCCAGGUUUUACAAAGAGGUGGGGCAGGUGCAGUGGUGCAAGUAGAACACUUCUCUCUCUCCCUUCAAGGCUUUCCUGGAGCUGAACUUGGCAAUGGUUUCCCGUGCGCCCCAUGUGCACAGCUCAUUCUCCCACCUGGGCAGUAAGGCAGGGAGGCCGUGGCAGUGGCUGCAUCGGAACGUGUUUGGGUGAAGUGUUGGGACUGCUCAGACUGAAUGACAGCUGCUUAUGCUUCUGACUCAAGACAGCCACGAGCCUUUUCCCUCCCUGACUCCUCUCACUGGCUGCACAGCUUCUGUGGCCACACACAGUGUCUCUUAAUGUGCAGGUGAAAUGAGGAAACAAUCUUUUUUGCCAGAAAGACAGACAAAUAGAACAUACUCAGUUUUAAUUACUGCAAGGCAGGAAUACUUCCCAUCAAAACUGCCAGAGCUCUUGCCACAAGUCAGUUUCACAUGACUUUCUACAGCAUGGUUUUGGUCUUCCAAAGCAGAGAAGCAGGAGUGCCUAGAGCUGAAUGCUUUCUCCUUGGAUUAUAACAGGAAGGGAUCUGAACUGCAAAAACAAUAUGGCAGUGGCCUUGGUGGGAUUAGAAAGGUAAAUCUGCAAAUGUAGCAGUAUUAUCUAUGUUGCAGAGAUGAUAAAUAUUAAGAUGAGUUGUUUAAAGAGCAGGUGGCCAUGGAAGCAGAUAAUUACUCUGCUGAGAAGAGAGAAACUGAAGUUGAGAACAGAGCAGCUGGAGAGC
RNAcentral lists this long non-coding RNA (1157 nucleotides) under Ficedula albicollis (Collared flycatcher). RNAcentral describes it as "lncRNA (ENSFALG00000026853.1)". The record is from RNAcentral. Lineage: Eukaryota; Metazoa; Chordata; Aves; Passeriformes; Muscicapidae.